Molecule: long non-coding RNA, 278 nt
Organism: Cotesia glomerata
Lineage: Eukaryota; Metazoa; Arthropoda; Insecta; Hymenoptera; Braconidae
Exons: 3
Source: RefSeq, a predicted model, not a curated record
UUGCAAGCGGAACUUCAUUUUUUUCGAAAAUCAUCGAGAUGCCAUUCUGAAUCGAAUGACAACUCAAUCAUAAUUUUCGGAGACUACUGAAAAAAGUUGACCAAAAAGGCACUUGUUGAGCGUGUUUAGCCGAACUAAAUCCUGAGUAAACUUAGUAAGAUAUGUAUAGUAUAGUAGAUAGAUAUAUGUAUAGCAGGGAAUGCUUUGACUAUACUUAGGCUAACUAAGUUUACUCAGGACUUAGUUCGGCUGAACACGCUCAAUUUCUAUAGAUUCAU